This 3067-nucleotide long non-coding RNA is filed under the name Paramuricea clavata. The record is from RNAcentral. Lineage: Eukaryota; Metazoa; Cnidaria; Anthozoa; Malacalcyonacea; Plexauridae.
UCCAAAUAUUGUUCUCAACAAUCAAGGAAUUCUGGAUUGAGUUCACAACCUGGUGUUGUAAGGUAAUAAUUAACAAGAAUAAAUACUGUAGUCUGCUUUUAGUGCUUUAUAUGAAGAAAAUGACAAACUGGCCCAGCUAAAGUAGUCACCCAGGGUCUGUAUAUGAGCCAUGCUGGCCCGUUAAACCGAGUUAGCUUGCAUGGCCGGGCCAAGUUGUUAUUUGUUUCACAUGAGGCGGGCUAGCCUGACAAGUGCUACCGUAUAAGAAAUUACCAAACAAUUUUAUAUAUGGUGGGAAAGCGAUAUUUGUUUUAAUUUUGAAAAUGGUAUUUUAUCGAAGGAAACUGCUUCAGAAGUUUUAAUAUUGUUCAUUAAUGUUAUUUUUUUAAAUUCUUAUAUGCUUUCUACUGUAGAUAGAAUAAAGCAUGCGUUGUGACACAAUUGUCAAUUGCCAGUCUGGUUUGCCGGGCUGGCCGGGAAAGGCGAGAUCUUGCCUUGCUCAAACGGGAGCCCAUCAAAUUAACCAGGCCAGCCCGGUUCUCAUGCGAAUCAAAUCUCAAAAACAUAAAAACAAUAUACAUGUACAAGACCAGAUCUCGGCACUUGCAAGUCGGUCCAGCCAGACGAAUCAGCCUUGAUCUUGUAAACAGCCCAUGUAAGGACCUUGUAUGUAGGAAUUAUUACAUUUCUUGAUACUGCAUAAAAAAUUUAGUAAAUAUUAACAACACAAUUACAUGUGAAUCCUAAAUCUACCCCCAAUGCAGCCCAUUGUAAGGCCUGUUGGCACUGUACUCAAUUUUGGUAUCCGUAACAUGUUUACCAUGCUUGGACUACCGUACUCCUAUUCACGCAGGCUGAGCAUGGAUAAAUUUGGUACAGGUACCAAGUUUAUCUGUGCCAUACUUGGCGUAAAAAAAUACCUGUGGUUCCGGUUCCCGAUCGACCCUAUUUUUUUCUGCCCACCCUAUUAUUUUUUCAAAGUAAUUGACUGUGUGACCCUAUUUUCUCCAGAUGGUUGUGGGCUGCUGCCAAAUGACAUCUGUUGUCACACUAAUUAUUGAAAAAUCCAUGAAAAAAUAUUUAAAAAAAAAGGUAUUUCCAACCUACCAACCCUAAUUUUUUUGCGAUAUGAAACCGGAACCACAGGUAUUCUUUUACGCUCUACUAGAUUAAUCUUGCUAUCUCAAUGCCAAACAAUUGUACAGGGUCCUGAUGUAUUAACCCAAUUAGUGGCAGCACUCUUCCCCUGAGUCCCUGACGAGUUAAAUCGUCUGGCAUUAGACAGAGUAAAAUAAUAAAGUAGGGCGCAUCUUGGUGCAUUGGCACUUAAAGGGUUAAUGUAAUGUUACUGCACUACAUUGAUGCUAACUGUAUUAUGAAUUAAAGUUAUUUAAGAGAAGACAGUCAGUUGAGUAUCAUAUUUAGUCCACAAGAUAUAUUCCCCUUUAAACAGGAACUGUUGCAUGACAGAUCAUAAAUUAAUUGACAUAAUCUACUUGGCUAACUAAUAAUUAUUAGACAGUAGUGCACAAUGCAACUAAAUGGUUAAUUUGACACAUGGGCAGAUAGUCUGAUUAACCCAUUGAGCAUGACUGCUUUCCUCUUGACAAGUAAAGUUAUCUGGUGUUAGACAGAGUAAAAUAAUAAAGUAUGAUGCAACAAAAUUUAGUGUCUGGUGAAACUAAGCUUGCUGAUUAAUAGUGAUUAUUGGUUAUUACUUUUUAAAAUAACAUGGGUCCAAGGUCUUUGCCAGAAGAAGUUGCGCCAGAUGGUGGUUUGCCUAAUACCAGAUGGUAGCGGGUGGUGCCCAGAUACCUGAUGGCACCAGAUAGUAGUCUACAGGGUUUUUUCCAGGAAUUUUUCUUGGGUCCAUUUUUGCAGAGAAGAUUGAGUUUAGCUGAACAGCUGGGGUGGCUGCACCCCCCCCCCCCUACCGCGGGAGGCUGACACCUAUGCUCAAUAAAUGUAGUUGAGAUGGAAUGUGUUAAAGCAGGGUCACUAAGGGACACUAUAAACUGGUUGAAGAUGGCGAAUGCAUAGUUUUUCUUGUGUUGCAAGAUGGAUUCCAGCCAUUUCUUAAUUGUCGGGCUUCCAACUGAAAACUAAUUUAGUAAUUUCCACACGUCACAAAAUUUUAUAACUCAAACAACUUCAUCUUCAUGAGAAUAUUGAGUUUCAAAACUCAAUUCAAGAUUCAAUUUUUGGGCCCGUUUGACGGCCCUAAAAAAACCCUGGUCUACUGGGUACAGGUCUGGAGAAAGCCUGUCUCUGGUUAACAUAUGUGUAUUUGUCAUACCCUGCAUCACCUUGUACAUACAAAUGAAAUAUGAACUGGCUUUGUUAUUGGUUAAAUAAAGGCUGUUUAUUACAUCCACAGUUAGUAGUCCCUUUUACACUGUAGGUUAAUGAUAAGUCUCAAGGUCAUUGUUCUGGCAUAUUUUGUAUAAAGUAAUGAUUACAUUUUCAAUAAGUAAAAUUUUUCUUUUACAGAUUCUAAGAUGAUUGAUCUUUGAUGGCAAUUGCAUGCUGUGUUUGGAACAGUAUUAAUUAAAUGUACAUGAGGAAAUCAAUGGACUUGGUGAAUGAACAAUGGUAUAGAUAAUAUUGAUUGUGAAAUGGACAAAAUGUUAAACAAAAUAUGGCUUCAGGAGAAACCAGGGUUUUUUCAGGGAUUUUUUAGGGCCCUUUAAACAGCCCCAAAAACUCAAUCUUGAAUUGAGUUUUGAAACUCAAUCUUCUCAUCAAAGUUUCAGUGCAGUAAAAAUGAAGUUGUUUGAGUUAUAAAAUGUUGUGACGUGUGGAAAUUAGUUUUCAGUUGGAAGCCCGACAAGCCAUCUUUCACCAGUUUAUAGUGUCCCUGUUUUAACACAUUCCGUCUCAAUUACAUUUAUUGAGUACAGGUGUCAGCCCACCGGUAGGGGGGGGGGGAUGCAGCCACCCCAACUGUUCAGCUAAACUCAAUCUUCUCUGCAAAAACGGACCCAAGAGAAAAUCCUGGAAAAAACCCUGGGAGAAACUCAAUUCACUACAACACAUUGCUGUGCUAUCAGAACUACUAUAAUUUCAG